AUACGGAGGGUGCAAGCGUUACUCGGAAUCACUGGGCGUAAAGCGCGCGCAGGCGGGCUGAUAAGUUGGAUGUGAAAGCCUAUGGCUCAACCGUAGAACUGCAUCCAAAACUGUCAGUCUAGAGUCUGGGAGGGGAAGAUGGAAUUAGUUGUGUAGGGGUAAAAUCCGUAGAGAUAACUAGGAAUACCAAAAGCGAAGGCGAUCUUCUGGAACAGUACUGACGCUGAGGCGCGAAAGCGUGGGGAGCAAACAGGAUUAGAAACCCUAGUAGUCC
This 274-nucleotide ribosomal RNA is filed under the name uncultured bacterium. RNAcentral describes it as "partial 16S ribosomal RNA". It matches the Rfam family "Bacterial small subunit ribosomal RNA", at positions 523 to 796 of the family's 1533-position model. The record is from RNAcentral.